This 892-nucleotide non-coding RNA is filed under the name Pseudoblennius marmoratus. RNAcentral's name for it is "partial 12S ribosomal RNA". It matches the Rfam family "Bacterial small subunit ribosomal RNA", at positions 307 to 1533 of the family's 1533-position model. Lineage: Eukaryota; Metazoa; Chordata; Actinopteri; Perciformes; Cottidae. The record is from RNAcentral.
ACCCCUGUGAGAAUGCCCGACCGUUUCCCCUCCUAGGGAACAAGGAGCGGGUAUCAGGCGCUUCCCCCGAAUGCCCAUGACACCUUGCUUAGCCACGCCCCCACGGGACCUCAGCAGUGACAAACAUUAAGCCAUAUGCGAAAGCUUGACUUAGUUAUAGCUAAGAGGGCCGGUAAAACUCGUGCCAGCCACCGCGGUUAUACGAGGGGCCCAAGUUGAUAAGCUACCGGCGUCGAGCGUGGUUAGGACGAAAAUUACACUAGAGCCAAACACCUUCAAGGCUGUUAUACGCAACCGAAGACAGGAAGUACAACCACGAAAGUGGCUUUAUCUGGUUUUAACCCACGAAAGCUAGGGGACAAACGGGGAUUAGACACCCUCCUAUGCCUAGCCAUAAACAUUGAUGGCCCAAAACAUACGUCAUCCGCCCGGGGACUACGAGCAACAGCUUAAAACCCGAAGGACUUGGCGGUGCUUUAGACCCACCUAGAGGAGCCUGUUCUGGAACCGAUAACCCCCGUUCAACCUCACCCUUCCUUGUUCAUCCAGCCUAUAUACCGCCGUCGUCAGCUUACCCCCUGAGGGUUCAUUAGUAAGCAAGACUGGUAAAACCCAAAACGUCAGGUCGAGGUGUAGCGCAUGGAAGGGGAAAAAAUGGGCUACAUUCGCUACCCCAGCGAAUUACGGACGAUGAGCUGAAACGCCCAUCUGAAGGAGGAUUUAGCAGUAAGCAGGAAGUAGAGCGUCCCGCUGAAACUGGCCCUGAAGCGCGUACACACCGCCCGUCACUCUCCCCAAAAACAUCUUUACACUAUUACAUUAAAGCCUGAUAAUCGAAAGGGGAGGCAAGUCGUAACAUGGUAAGUGUACUGGAAGGUGCACUUGGAAAAAU